AUACUUAUCUGGCAGGGGAGAUACCAUGAUCACGAAGGUAGUUUACCUUGGGUGAGGCUUAUCCAUUGCACCCGGAUGUGCUGACUCCUGCAAUUUCCCCAAAUAUGGGAAACUCGAAUGCAUAAUUUGUGGUACUGGGGGACUGCAUUUGUGCUCUUCCUUG
Molecule: small nuclear RNA, 163 nt
Organism: Phyllostomus discolor (pale spear-nosed bat)
Lineage: Eukaryota; Metazoa; Chordata; Mammalia; Chiroptera; Phyllostomidae
Product: U1 spliceosomal RNA
Exons: 1
Source: RefSeq, a predicted model, not a curated record